Molecule: ribosomal RNA, 506 nt
Filed under: uncultured bacterium
Lineage: Bacteria
Description: partial 16S ribosomal RNA
Rfam family: Bacterial small subunit ribosomal RNA
Source: RNAcentral
AGUGAACGCUGGCGGUAGGCCUAACACAUGCAAGUCGAACGGCAGCACAGGAGAGCUUGCUCUCUGGGUGGCGAGUGGCGGACGGGUGAGGAAUACAUCGGAAUCUACUUUUUCGUGGGGGAUAACGUAGGGAAACUUACGCUAAUACCGCAUACGACCUACGGGUGAAAGCAGGGGAUCUUCGGACCUUGCGCGAUUGAAUGAGCCGAUGUCGGACUAGCUAGUUGGCGGGGUAAAGGCCCGCCAAGGCGACGAUCCGUAGCUGGUCUGAGAGGAUGAUCAGCCACACUGGAACUGAGACACGGUCCAGACUCCUACGGGAGGCAGCAGUGGGGAAUAUUGGACAAUGGGCGCAAGCCUGAUCCAGCCAUACCGCGUGGGUGAAGAAGGCCUUCGGGUUGUAAAGCCCUUUUGUUGGGAAAGAAAUCCAGCUGGUUAAUACCCGGUUGGGAUGACGGUACCCAAAGAAUAAGCACCGGCUAACUUCGUGCCAGCCGCCGCGGUAA